Phragmites australis (common reed) is the source of this 1990-nucleotide long non-coding RNA. RefSeq lists it as uncharacterized. The record is from RefSeq and is a predicted model, not a curated record. Lineage: Eukaryota; Viridiplantae; Streptophyta; Magnoliopsida; Poales; Poaceae. The transcript is spliced from 2 exons.
UCUGGACGUUUGUGGUUGGAUUAAAUCAAAUCAAUCAAUUCCUGUCGUAUUAUUUCAUGUGAUCAAUAGUCUGUUUCGUUUCGAUAAUUGUUAUUGAUUCGAAGAUACGAUAUCCGAGUCAAAGUAUUCUUUUCGUUCAUCGGAGCAAAGUCUAAUUAGUGAGAGCUUUGGUUCGACUCUGAAUUGGAAAUAGUAUAUCAUUUCAUGUGAUACAGUUUUCUGUAUAGUUUUCCGAAAUAUAGGCGUACCGAUGGCGUUGACGUUAUUCCUUUUCGGUAAUUGGUUUAGGUGCUUUUGGCGUAUUAGCGUGCGUCCUCUUCUUUUUCGUCGUUGUGGCAUCUUUGUAUUAAUGGUGUGUUUGUUCAGGUGGUGCGACCUCACGUCACGACUAGUGCCCGGCUUCAUCGUUGGUAAAGGCAAGUGAUUGUAGUGAAUGGCUACGCUUUAACCUCUUAUUGGAUUGCCCACAUUCCUUAAUUACAAUGCAUUCAUCUAAUCUGAAUAACUGAUUAUGAGAUGGUUACUAUGUUGUUUAUGUUUCCAGAAGUUUACUCGAUGAUGGAUUUAUGAAGUGCAGUAAGCACGAUAUGCCAUUAUGCAGUUGUUCAUUAUUGUUUAAUGCAAUGUUUUAUUUCGAAGUCUCAAGCAUAUUCCGGGAGUUAUGAUAGUAUGCUUGAAGCACGUCAUACAUAUUCAUCUCAUGCAUUGGAAGUUUGUCGCCGUCUUCUGGCCGCGACUGUACCGGUACAGUACCGUAUGUUACCCGAGAAGGGGUACGGUGCACACCCUUACGUUACCCGAGGAGGGGUAAGGGUGAGGAGAGCAUGUCAUGUGCAUGGUUAUGUCUUCUUAUGAAAUUCAAUGGGUUAUUUGCAUCAAAUCUUAUUUCCUUUAAUUAGCUUGUAUAUAGAUAUAUAUGCAGCUCUGAAGGCUUAUACCAACCGAAUGUUAAAUGAUUAAUGUUAUCGUUGGACUUGCUUAGUCAUAAUUGUUUCUCCUAGUGUUGGCGGUCUGUUUCAUUACUAGUUUCUAUUUAGAAUUGUUAGCACAUUCAUCUGUGGCUAAUAGCUUUUGCAAAUGAUUGUAGUGAAUGGCUACGCUUUAACCUCUUAUUGGAUUGCCCACAUUCCUUAAUUACAAUGCAUUCAUCUAAUCUGAAUAACUGAUUAUGAGAUGGUUACUAUGUUGUUUAUGUUUCCAGAAGUUUACUCGAUGAUGGAUUUAUGAAGUGCAGUAAGCACGAUAUGCCAUUAUGCAGUUGUUCAUUAUUGUUUAAUGCAAUGUUUUAUUUCGAAGUCUCAAGCAUAUUCCGGGAGUUAUGAUAGUAUGCUUGAAGCACGUCAUACAUAUUCAUCUCAUGCAUUGGAAGUUUGUCGCCGUCUUCUGGCCGCGACUGUACCGGUACAGUACCGUAUGUUACCCGAGAAGGGGUACGGUGCACACCCUUACGUUACCCGAGGAGGGGUAAGGGUGAGGAGAGCAUGUCAUGUGCAUGGUUAUGUCUUCUUAUGAAAUUCAAUGGGUUAUUUGCAUCAAAUCUUAUUUCCUUUAAUUAGCUUGUAUAUAGAUAUAUAUGCAGCUCUGAAGGCUUAUACCAACCGAAUGUUAAAUGAUUAAUGUUAUCGUUGGACUUGCUUAGUCAUAAUUGUUUCUCCUAGUGUUGGCGGUCUGUUUCAUUACUAGUUUCUAUUUAGAAUUGUUAGCACAUUCAUCUGUGGCUAAUAGCUUUUGCAAAGUACCUUUCACUUGCUGAGAUUUUCGAAUCUCACCCGUGCUUUCUUUCCAGGUCCCUUUUGAGGUGUCAAUCGCUUGCGGGGUGGGUAGCUACACGUCGCCUGCACGUUUACCUUCUCUCUUGAUGCCCUGUUAGAUAUUGUCUUUUGCUCUGUAAUGUAUAUAAUGAGUUUGAUGGUGGUUCAGUUGUUUGGUCGAGGCUUGUACCUCGUUGCCAGGAUCUUUAUUUUGCUAGUGUGAUAUUCUAUAUCUGUUC